UGGGGAAUAUUGGACAAUGGGGGCAACCCUGAUCCAGCCAUGCCGCGUGAAUGAUGAAGGCCUUCGGGUUGUAAAGUUCUUUUGGUGGGGAUGAUGAUGACGGUACCCACAGAAUAAGCUCCGGCUAACUUCGUGCCAGCAGCCGCGGUAAUACGAAGGGAGCUAGCGUUGUUCGGAAUUACUGGGCGUAAAGGGCGCGUAGGCGGUUCGACAAGUCAGAUGUGAAAGCCCUGGGCUUAACCCGGGAACUGCGUGUGAGACUGUUGUACUUGAAUUCGGGAGAGGUUGGUGGAAUUCCCAGUGUAGAGGUGAAAUUCGUAGAGAUUGGGAAGAACACCCGUGGCGAAGGCGGCCAACUGGACCGACAUUGACGCUGAGGCGCGAAAGCGUGGGGAGCAAACA
This 402-nucleotide ribosomal RNA is filed under the name uncultured prokaryote. RNAcentral describes it as "bacterial SSU rRNA". It matches the Rfam family "Bacterial small subunit ribosomal RNA", at positions 355 to 774 of the family's 1533-position model. The record is from RNAcentral.